AGAUGUGCCAGACUUCUGAUUCUUGUCAAUUGAGUGAGGUGUUGCCAUCUGAACUGGAUCAGAAACUGUCCAUUUGCUCAUCGAACAGCAAGAGAGCCAGAUUGUAGGGCUAGAGUCUGAACUGCAUUGGGCCCAAUCUAAACUCCAUGAGAAAGAAGCUGAACUCCAAGCAUUGAAGGACUGCGGGCAUACAGAUGGCCACAUGGCGUUACUUCAUGUUAGUACUUGCUCGUUGAUUGUAAGUGAUCAUUGUGUGGUGACUCUGCAUUCAUUUGGAAGUGUUUGGAAUUGAUUUAUAGUUGGUCAUUGGCAUUCUCCUGGACAUGAAGAUUGUUACCAUCAAGAUGUUUGGUAAAAAAAGUUGAUGUUGGUGAUUCCUAAUAUAUUCACAGAGAGCGAGAGAUUAUUUGUUUCUCCAGAUUGCGAGUUGACAUUGGUAGGAAAGAAGGAAAAAGGUGAAGGAAAAGAUUUGAAGAGUUCCCUCUUGGCCCACCAUUUCCUUUCCACCCAAGCCAAGAUGGAAGCCAAGCAAUCCCACUUUGGCUCUGUCUGGGGUACUUGAAAGAGAAGAGGGUGAUGUUGAGGAAGUUGAUGAAUUUUCAAGGUUACAGACAGAGCUCUUUCGGAUUAAAGGAUUUGAUGAGAAAAGAAAGAAAAUGGAGAGAAAGACGUGCAAUUUUUUAGGGCUUAUAUUGGUAAUAAUAGUUUAUUUUUGAAUUUUUUAUGUUCAUGUAGUAUUUUAAUAUCUUUUUACACCUACUUCAUGCACUGUAAAUCUUGCAUUAUCAGAAAAAAGUGUAGUGAAAAAU
Camellia sinensis is the source of this 809-nucleotide non-coding RNA. NCBI's taxonomy places the organism in Eukaryota, Viridiplantae, Streptophyta, Magnoliopsida, Ericales, Theaceae. The record is from RefSeq and is a predicted model, not a curated record.